CAAAUUCCUUCAUCUGUCGCCCCCAGGCCACGGCCUGCACUGACGACACAAAAUAUGACAAUACAGGCAUGAAAUUCUUCAUUGACUGCAUGAUCAAUUAACAGCCACGCCAACACUGGAGUAGGUUGCAAGUGUAUUUGUUUUGUCACAAGGCUGGAUAUAUACAGUGGUAUUCUGCCAGUUGUAACACUGUGAUGACCAACUUGGCUGGAGCUGGUGUAUAAAUGGAUAUACACAAUGUGCUAUAAUGGAUAUGUACAGUGGUAUUCUGCCAGUUGUCACAUUCUGAUGACCAGCAUGGCUAGAGCUGGAGUAUAAAUGGAUAUACACCACGUGCUAUAAUGGAUAUAUACUCACCAACUAACUGAGUUUAACCAAGAAGGGAAGGGGAAGUUGGUGUGACGGGAAGCUGAAGUCUGAGAGAGCAGGUCAAAGGUCAUGUCUUCCAAGAGCAGCAGCAGCACACUCGUGCAGUACCGGAACCUCGGCAAGUCUGGGCUGCGAGUUUCCAACAUAGGAUUUGGAACAUGGGUAACGUUUGGAGGCCAGGUUUCAGAAGAGGUGGCUGAAGAGCUCCUCACCCUGGCCUACGAAAGUGGAAUCAACUUGUUUGACACAGCAGAGGUUUACGCCGCGGGCAAGGAAGACGAGAAGGUGUUCUGUCGGGCCGAGAACACGCUGGGGAAUAUUCUCAAGAAGAAGAGCUGGAGGAGAUCGAGUUACAUUCUGUCCACGAAGAUCUACUGGGGAGGGAAGGCCGAGACAGAGAAAGGACUUUCCCGGAAACAUAUCGUUGAAGGUCUGAAGGGGUCGCUGGAGAGGUUGCAGCAGGACUAUGUGGACAUCGUCUUCGCCAACAAGCCGGACUCACACACACCAAUGGAAGAGGUGGUGCGUGCUUUCACCCAUGUCAUCAACCACGGCUGGGCCAUGUACUGGGGGACAUCCCGCUGGAGCCCCAUGGAGAUCAUGGAGGCGUACUCAGUGGCGAGGCAGUUCAACCUGAUUCCUCCGGUAGCGGAGCAGGCAGAGUACCAUCUGUUCCAGCGGGAGAAGGUGGAAAUACAGAUGCCAGAACUAUACCAUAAAAUAGGUAUCGGGACAGUCACGUGGUCCCCUCUUGCCAGUGGGAUCCUCACGGGGAAGUACGAUGACGGUGUUCCCAUCUACUCCAGGGCUGCCCUCAAGGGCUACAGCUGGUUGAAGGAUAAAGUGCUAAGCGAAGAUGGACGACGACAGCAGGCCAAAUUGAGAGAGGUGGCGGUGAUUGCUGACAGACUAGGCUGUUCUAUAGCACAGCUCGCCAUAGCGUGGUGUGUUAAGAGUGAGAAUGUUCACUGUGUCCUCCUUGGAGCUUCCAAUGUUGAUCAGCUGUACGAGGACAUCCAGGCCCUGCAGUAUGUGUCCAAGCUGACACCGGCUAUUCUUAGCGAGAUGGAUAAGCUGCUUGGGAAUAAGCCCGUGUACAAGCGAGAAACAUACAGUCGACAAAGAGCCCGACAAGUUCCACGGCGAUAGCGCUAGGCAGGGAUGUACGUGCUUUUCAAAAUUAGAAUGACGUCGAGAAACGUGACCUGCAAUGAGUGUACUUCCAGCAGAUGAACACUUUCGUUGUCUGCUCUAUGCAAGCAAGAUGGCGCCCACAUCGCCAUAGCAACCAGAAGAGGUCAGGAGGUACAGAGGCUGCACGUGAUGCUGAGGUCGUCCACUAGGGCUGUAGAUGCGGCUUCUAGACGUGACUAAACCAUGGAGACUGUUGCGUAGCAGCAUCUACCAUCUUCCCAGAGCUAGGGACAUUGUCAGAUUGUUGUCAAAAUAUGUGCAAUGCCUUGUAAGUCAUUGUGUCAUAUUCUUUUUCCUCUUCAAAUUUUCCUCAUGGAUUGGAGUAUCAUUUUCAAGCAACUGGUGUUCGGUGAUCGCUUGGAUCAUGUCCUCCGGGACAUAAUGUUGUUAGAAAUGUGAUGUGAGAAAGGCGUGUGUCGGAUGUGGAGUUCUGUCAGCUGACAUUUAAUGUACUGACAUACACACGAGCCCUAGCAGGACAGCCAUCAGCUAAGCUGCAAUGUGUAGGGUAAUCAGCAGUGUCAGAGACGGUUAGUCGGCCAUGAAUGGGCUAAUAUAUUGUUUGACAAUGCUGUGGAGGGAUAUCUCGCAUAUAUCAGUUACAUUAUAUAUAGGAUAUAGAUCACCAUCCCAUGAUCUGUCCCUAGCUGGAGAUGAAGCUGUUUUGUCAUCUUCUCAGCUGGGAGAACUGGACUGGGCUCAUCCUUCCUAGAAGCACUGGAUUUAUGCAGUACAAACUGUGUCAGCCAUGAACAUUACGUUACACCACUGGAAUGAAACUUGUGCAUGAUUGAAACUUGAUUUUCGAUCUAUUCUUCGUGUCAAAUAUCUAAAGCCUUUUAGUGUGUAGUGGUGAUUAGCUUCUGAACUUUGCCUUUGUUUUCUAAGAGUUGCCUCAAAUGAUUAAUCCACAAGGGGCAAGAACAAGAUGGCCGCCAAAUGUGAUAUUUACCUCUACUGCUGGAAGUGAGUGUUUAUGGGUACAUAUCAACUAAAUUGUGCAACGCAGAUAACAGGAGAACCUUGGACGGUACAGCUGUGAAACAACAUCGAGUUAUUGUAACAGGGCCAAACCAUUCAGGAGAUGCAUCACUGGAGACUUGGUAUACGUUUUCCUGGUGUUUAAUGCGACUUACCUCAUUCACUGUACAGGAUUGUGAAGAACUUAUGGAAGAACCCUGUAGCCUCCAACAAAAUGAUAUCAAUAUUAUUCAUGAAAAGUGGAAUGAAAUCAGCAUUAAUUAAUAUUGAAUGAUGUUCUUGCUUGAAAUGUUUGCAGUGGAUUGUCAUCAAUUAUUCCCAACAAAAAAAGCUAUGGCUUGACAAAAUGUGGUAAACGCUGGAUCAGGCCUAUGAUGAGACUAACGAUAUCUUGUGACAAAUUGUUUACAAAACGGGUACCCCUACCUUUUGAGACUGGUAUUGGAACUAAAUCAGACGGUGUGACGUCUUCAGUUGUCAGGGAUAUUUCUAGAUGUGGGCAAUGAUGGUCCAGUUGGCUGACUGGCCCCAGUUCAACGUGCUUGGAAGAUCAAUUGGAAGAUUACCAAUAUCUUUCCAAUAGAAAACCCAUCCAGGAACAAAAUCGGAUUCAGCCUCAUUUAGUUUUCAAAAUCCAAGUAGGGUGAAAGUUCUGUACCAAUUGGCAGCAAUAAUCUGGGUAUUCUGCAGCCUUUGACGAAUCAACUACCCUGUACCCAUCUCAGGAUUAUCCCUAACAAUUGUUUCUGUAAAAGUAACAAACUCAAAAUGUUUCAGAUAGGGAAGGGUGUCCCAUACAGAUGUAAGCUAAUCAUUCAAUAAGGUCAUCAGUGUCCUGUUCUACAGAGCGAUCUUAAUGCUAAGAUGAUCGUAACUCCCAUACAUUAGCAUAGACUUACAGCCGUUGUAGCUCUAAGAUAAUUGUAACUCCCAUACUUUAACAUAGACCUACAGCCGUUGUAGCUCUAAGAUGAUUGUAACUCCCAUACUUUAACAUAGACUUACAGCCGUUGUAGCUCUACGAUGAUUGUAACUCCCAUACUUUAACAUAGACUUACAGCCGUUGUAGCUCUAAGAUAAUUGUAACUCCCAUACUUUAACAUAGACCUACAGCCGUUGUAGCUCUAAGAUGAUUGUAACUCCCAUACUUUAACAUAGACUUACAACCGUUGUAGCUCUAAGAUGAUUGUAACUCCCAUACUUUAACAUAGACCUACAAAAGUCAC
RNAcentral lists this unclassified non-coding RNA (3770 nucleotides) under Haliotis rufescens (red abalone). RNAcentral describes it as "voltage-gated potassium channel subunit beta-2-like, transcript variant X4". Lineage: Eukaryota; Metazoa; Mollusca; Gastropoda; Lepetellida; Haliotidae. The record is from RNAcentral.